UACAAAACAAAAACAACAUUCGACCGCAGCGGAACAACUGAAAAGCGAGCGCACGAAAACGAAAUCGAGGAAACCGCCGCGUGUGAUCAAAAAUCGAAGUUAAACAAAGUCGGAGGGAAGCUGCGAGGUAAUUGAACCGCCCCGCCCUCGAGCCACGCCCCGCAGCCGUGUGAUAACAAAGAUAUUGCAAUAAAGGCAAUUAAAGCUGCGAGAGAGCCAAGAAACGUGACCCAGGCAAAUUUGUUUGUUUGUCUGCUUCUGCUUGCAUAUACAUAUUAACGAAAUAUAAACGUGCGUGAGAUUGUGUGUGUGUGUGAGCAGCCGUCGCGGUAGUAGUAGUAACACAGCAAACAACAACAAAUUCGUCUCGCGUUAUUUACAAUAAUUUAAACAAAAAAUUACAAAAUUGUAUUUCAUCUCUCUUUCUCUCUCACACACACGCACGAAUAUUACCCCCGGCGCGUUUUUCGUCUGUCUCUCUCUGACAAAGGCGGAAGAGUUAAAAAAUAGUAAUUAAAUAAAAAAAAAGGAAAAACUGCCACCGUCGCGUCGCUGCUCAAUAAUUUGUGCAUCUUUUAAGUUCUUCACAAUGUCCUCAAAUCUCAUUUAAAUAAGUAAAAAGUGUAAUAAGCGACGUGAACAGCACGCAGCGAAAAGAAUAGCGCUGAAUAGAAGGCACGCCAAACAGCAACAAAUGGCCAACAAUUGAAUGGCGGCCAUCAGUGGCCCCCAGCGGCGUCCAUUGAGCAAUCAACACCAUUUCUCCCACAUCAAAUCAAGCACCACCACCACCGCUGCCGCCACCUCAGCCGCCACCACUACCAACACCACCACCACCACCACUGUCCCCACUUUGGGAACCAGAACAACAGUCCAAAGCCCAGUCCAAGCCACCACCAGCACCACAACAACAACAACAACAACAACAACACUGAAGAGCUCCAUCGGCAACAAAUACCAGAACCAGAACCAAAACCGGGUGCAGCUGCUCGAAUUAUUUGGCAAACUCGCCGCGUAGUCCAUCAAUGAGCGUUUCGAUGUCACUGGUACAGGGUGGUGCUGCCGGUGGUGCGCCACAGGGCGCCAGCGCAAUCUUGGCCGCAGCGGCUCCCUACUAUCAGCCGCCGGCCGUUCCCCAGGAUGUCCAGCCGGAUCGUCCCAUCGGCUAUGGAGCAUUCGGAGUUGUCUGGGCUGUCACAGAUCCUCGGGAUGGACGUCGCGUGGCCUUGAAGAAGCUGCCAAAUGUGUUCCAAUCGUUGGUCUCAUCGAAACGCGUUUUUCGCGAGCUGAAAAUGCUCUGCUUCUUCAAGCACGAGAAUGUUCUCUCGGCCCUGGACAUUCUACAGCCACCGCAUUUGGAUUUCUUUCAAGAAAUCUAUGUGAUAACGGAGCUGCUGCAAUCGGAUCUGCACAAGAUAAUCGUAUCGCCGCAGCACCUCUCCGCCGACCACAUCAAGGUGUUCCUGUACCAGAUCCUGCGCGGCCUCAAGUAUCUGCACUCGGCCCGCAUCCUGCAUCGCGACAUCAAGCCGGGCAAUCUGCUGGUCAACUCGAAUUGCGUGCUCAAGAUCUGUGAUUUUGGAUUGGCCCGCGUUGAGGAGCCGGACCAGGCCAAGCACAUGACCCAGGAGGUGGUCACCCAGUACUACCGCGCCCCAGAGAUUCUCAUGGGCGCUCGUCACUACUCGUCGGCGGUGGACGUGUGGUCGGUGGGCUGCAUUUUCGGCGAGCUCUUGGGCCGUCGCAUCCUGUUCCAGGCGCAGAACCCAGUGCAGCAGCUGGAGCUGAUCACCGAGCUGCUGGGCACGCCCACCAUGGAGGAUAUGCGGCACGCCUGCGAAGGUGCCCGCACCCACAUGCUGCGCCGGGCGCCCAAGCCGCCCUCCUUCUCGGUGCUCUACACACUCAGCUCGCACGCCACGCACGAGGCUGUGCACCUGCUCUGCCAGAUGCUGGUUUUCGAUCCGGACAAGCGCAUUUCUGUGACAGAUGCCCUGGCGCAUCCAUAUCUGGAUGAGGGACGUCUGCGGUACCACUCGUGCAUGUGCAAAUGCUGCUUCACUACCUCGGCCGGAAUGCGCCAGUACACGGCCGACUUUGAGCCCUCCGCCGGCCAGCCCUUUGAUGAUCUAUGGGAGCGCAAGCUCACCUCCGUGCAGCAGGUCAAGGAGGAGAUGCACAAGUUCAUAGCCGAGCAACUGCAAACGGGUCGUGUGCCGCUUUGCAUUAAUCCACAGAGUGCGGCCUUCAAGAGUUUCGCCAGCCAAUGAGAAUGAGAAAAUCUACUACUACUACCACUACCACUACUACCACUACAACUUGCACUGCUGCUCCUGCCGCUGCUCCAAUCCGCCGCCGCCUACUGUUGCCUACUGCCUUCGAAAACCGAUACAGAUCCAGAUCGAGAUCGUUAUCCAGAUCAAGAUACUAGGGGCGCGCGAUCUACUAUCACUAGAACGAAUCGAUAUAGAAACGCAGAAGUCACAAGAUUCUAUCUACUAUCCGUUAUCUGCCGAAUGAUUCAAGAAUGAUAAUGAAUGAAAAUGCAAUGAAAAUGAAAAUAAAAAUGAAAGAAAUGCCAAGAUAAAGAAACAAUUAUACAGAUACAGAAUAUGAGGCCUCGGGGCGGCAACUGUCUCUCUACUCCUUCUUAGUUCAACCGUGGCACAUCCUUCAGAGCUGCCGCCGUCGCCUCAUCAAUGGGAAUGACGGCAAAAUGAGGCGAUUGCUGCCUAAAAUCGAAACAAAAGCAACACAGCCAAACGAUAGAACCUCGCCGCCGAAAAGAAGGAGGAGAGGAAUCGAUUCCCAGUCCAAAAAAAAACCCUCGAAAACCCUCGAAAACCCGCGAAAACCCAACCCAACUCAACUCAACCCAGAGAUAACUCAGCCAGGAACAACGAUUGAAUAAUUUUUAAGCGCCAAGCGGCUUUUAAGUGGGCCUUUGUCUGUUUGAAAGUUAAAGCAUUCCACCACCGAAAUUAACUAAAAGAAAACAAACAAAUAUUUAAUAAUACUAUAGACAAACAAAUAUGUAACGUAACUCAACUGAAACUAGUCUAAACUAAACAACAAAACUGUAGUUAAAGCAGCAGCAGCGACACAAAACCAUGCAAGUUUUAAGUGAAGGAAAAAUAUUACAAAAAUGUGUAACAAAAAGAGAGAGGAGAGGGAGCGAGCAGCAGUAGAUUCUACGCACUACAAGCAAAGCGUAGAUAAUAAUAUUAGUUUUUUGGCAACAAAGCUAAAAUUUUGUUGUGCUUGACAAGAAUUGGAAGAAUUGAUCGAAAAUUCAAAUUUAAUGGUAAAGAAAUACAACACAAAAUCGUUUUAUGUUAAGCUCCUAAGAAAUCUAUGUAUAUGUAAAUUAAUUAGCAACACAGACAGACAUCGUAUUCAUUAUAAACAAAUAUGCUUAACUAUUAAAUAUAUCGAUAAAUAUAUUUAAAAUAAAAUAGUAACAAAAUGCACACAAAUCCGAAAUUUGUUUGCCAAAAUUUACCUCAAGCGAUUAAACAACCUUUUCAUCCGUUAAAAGGAUAAAUUCAUUUUCUGUUAGCUUACGACAAACAUAACGAUGUGUAGCUACAGCUAAAUGUUUACUAAACGCAAAGAAAACAAAUUCAUUUGAAAUUAUGCAACUAUUUUCAUUUUCACAAACGUUUGAAGCUUCAAUUUUGAAACUGGUUUCUAGAUAUAUACUCUAAAUGUAUCUGACCACAAAAGGCGGUCAACAACACUAACUCAAUAUUAGAAAAACAAAAAUAUUUGAUGAAAUUAGUUCAAAGUUUCAACUGUCGACUGACUGAACAAAAAUUACAAUAUAAAUUAAUAUAAAUAUAAAUUAAACAAUUUCAACUUAAUUUAGUUAUGACAAUUUUCGCUUUGAUAAUAGUUUGUUAAGCUUUUUAAUCAUAUUUUUCAUAAAUGUAAACUAACAAAUAAACAAACCAUCAAAGGAAAAACCAACCAACAAGUGGACGACGCACUGCCCCCAGUGAAUGGUUUUGGCGGAUAAAGCUUAAUGGGUCGGAAAUGGGGAGUAUUAUUACCCCUUGGAGUCCCAAGGCGCCGCCCGAAUCAAUUCAAUUUUAGUUGAUAUGUAUACUUUGCUUUUAGUUGAUUACCAUGUAAUAUAGUUUAAUUUUCGACUAACUACACCUCUGUCUCUCUCAAUGCUCAUUGCUUUAGGCUAUAGCAAAGGUGCAGGACAGGAUCGGUUAUAGAGGAUCAAUUGCUAAGGCCUCGGCUGCCCAGAACAUUAUAUAUGUUAAGACUGAGUUUUCUCAUUUGACGACGACGAUUGAUUAAUUGAGGAUAUGCAAUACGAAAUUCACACUUGAUUUUUUGGAAGAGUCAAAAUUAUGAUCUAGCUUAAGCACUUAAACAAAAUUAAAAAUGUAUACCGUAAAUAUGUAUUUUGAAUGUCUUUUGUCUUUAAUGUUUAGAGCAAAAACAAUGCAAAAAUAUCUAAUCGAAAACAAAAAAAAAACGAUAACGAUGUAGAAGAAGCUGUCGAAGAAAUUGAAACUGAAGCUAAACUAAACUUUUCCUCAAUUCUCUUAACUGUGCUGCUUUCUUAUGUAUGUAGUUUUUAAUUAUAUAAUUAUAUAUAUUAACCGAUAUAUAUAUAUAUAUAUAUAUACACAUACAUGUAUGGAUUAGCGUAAAACAAACGAAAACAAAACAAAACAAACAUGAAUUCAAAACUUUCACGGAGAUCUCAUAGCAAAAACAAAACGAAAUGAAAGAAAAGAAAAGCAAAGGAAAUCAGUGUGCAAAAAAGUAGAAUUUCUUUUCAACUUUUGUUUAUAACUAAAGUUUUUCUUAACCGUUAAUAUAUAGAGUACAGAUUAGAGAUUACAGAUUGUUUAUCCCUCAUUUGACACCGGACAGACCCAGAGACACACUCUCGAAUGCAAGUUAAAUUGACAUCUACAUCAGCAUCAUUUACAUCUCUAAGCACUUACUCCCCAUAAUUAUAGCUACUCAUAUGGAUAGUUAGUUUUCGUUCGGCUUAGGCACCGUGUACAUAACAUUAUCUCCACACCCCCACCAAUAAUUAGCCCACAUCUCUCUCUAGCUCAGUAAGACGGUUAGCUAUGAGGUAAUACGAGUACGAUAUAAGUUACGGACAUGUACAUUAUACUACACACAUAGCACAACCCUCGAUUGGAGCAGGUCUGAACUAAAACAUAAAGAAAUUCACACUCGAUAUAUGCCGUUUGAAAUGAGUUCAUAAGUUAAGAUAAACUGUAACUGUAAACUGCAUUAGUAUUUGACUUGUAAACCAAUUUAUGGAUCAUUCUUAACUAUAUAUAUUAGAUACGUAUUACGCAUUAAUUUACGUUAACUGAGAAUAAAACAAAAACUUGUGUAAACUGUUUGUAUAAAAAAAAAAUAAGAACAAAACAAAAAAAAGAAAAAGAAAAAACGAAUACAUUUUGUUUCAUUUGUCGCAUUACUUGAAGUGGAUCCAACCCAACCCAAUGCAUUUGCUAAUUAGAAUUUAUAGCUAUGUAACACAGUGAAAACCCGACAACUAGCACCUACUAUAUACGAUAUGUGUAUGUAUUGUAUGGACAAUAUUUGAGAUUAAAAAACACACUACACAAUUAUUAAAGUUUGUAUUAGAGUACAGGUCAGCAUUCCGUUAAAACGGAAAACCUAAGGAUGCCACGUAUAUUUACCCUUUUUGAAUAUUAACCAAAUAUAUAUGGGAAUAACAUCCUAUAAAAUUGGUGGGAGUCUAAGAGAAAUCUUUUGAAAUAAGAAUUGGUCAAGAUUGGUAGAUCUGACCAUAAAAAUGAUUGCGCUCAGGUUAUAAAUUGUAAAAACUAAAACACUCUAAUAAUAUAUAUGAGAUAAUCUCUAAUUCGCAUAACAUAAAGAUAACCCUAUAAAUGUACGUUUAACAAGUUUAACAAAAGGCUGUUUGUAGAAAUUGUGACACAGUUUUUUUAACCCGAACCCACUACUAACCGUUGAUUAACCAACUCGAUAUGUAAAUGCAAAAAGAAGAGUCGUAUAUCUUCGACUUCACAGUAAAUGUAGCUGCUUACACUUACCAGAAAAAAUAACUGGCUGCUUUGUGCACUCCAAAAAAGUGUUGUAAAUAUUAAAAGAAAUUAAAAUAUAGUAAUCGUCGUACUUAAAUUUAGAGAAAACUUUGUGAUUGCUUUUCAUUGAUGAUAAUGACAUAAAUGUUUCGUAGGGGAACCUAAAGGCAGAUAUUUUUUCUUAAAAACAGCAUGUAAAAACACUCUAUACGCUAACCGAAUAAAAAGGCAAACGCUAAAUGUAGGACACACCAAAAUGUAGUUAACAAACACGAUAUAAAGGUAUAUAUAUAUAUAUGACACCUAUAACCACUGAAAAUCGAUGGCGAUCCUUAACCAAAAAUAUGAUAUACGAGUAUAUGUGUACGGGAAAUUUGCUAAAUGUUGUAAAAAGUAUAUUAUGCGAUUAUAAUUGUAGCACUUGAAAUGGAAUCUCUCCGAUCAUGUAGAAAUCCUCAUCCAGUAAAAGCACGCAACAAAGUUCCCUAAUACUUUACACACAAUUUGGUUUCCUCGAACCGCAAGCUAAAUUAAACAUUAACUGUUUAACUGUAUAUAUGUAAUGUAUUAACCACAUUAACCAAAUACUAACUGAAACGAAAAUAAGCCCAACAAUUACUUGGCUGCGUAAGUUGUAAAUUACCAAAUGCAAUCCUUUCUCCAGGACGAAAAGAAAGUGAAACACAGAACUUUGCAUAAUUUACAUGGAAAUCGUAAAGACACACUAACCAUUGUAUUAACUAAACUAAACCACACUAACUAAAACCCGCAUUAGAAUUACUAAAUAUUAUUAUAACGUAACAUGAAAAGAAAGAAUAUGGAAGACGAAACCGUAAGAAAUGCUUUCAAACUAAAUAAAGUUCUUUGGAAUUACAAUGCAAAAAACAAAAAAAAAAC
RNA transcript from Drosophila elegans, 6956 nucleotides. It is a transcript of the gene named serine/threonine-protein kinase NLK, with no coding region annotated. The record is from RefSeq and is a predicted model, not a curated record. The transcript has 9 exons. Lineage: Eukaryota; Metazoa; Arthropoda; Insecta; Diptera; Drosophilidae.